GUAAGAGAUUUUGGAAAUUAUUGACCAAUAUAAGAACAUAUCUUUAUGUUUCCUGACAUCAGAAAAAGGCCUUGAGGGAGAAAUGGCUUCUAGAUGGAAUCAGCAGCGGAAAAGAACAGGAAGAGAUGAAGAAGCAAAAUCAACAAGACCAGCACCAGAUCCAGGUUCUAGAACAAAGUAUCCUCAGGUAUGGCCCUCACUGAGAUACUCCACAACUACCUUUAUUUUGACUUUAUCCCAUGUUGUGCAUAGACAUGCCAUUCUCACUUUCAGGGGCAUAAUCAAACCUUCCAUUUGAAUUUCUUUCUUUUUUUUUUUUUUAAGGCAUGCUUUCACACUGUCACCCAGGCUGGAGUGCAGUGGCAUGAUCUCGGCUCACGGCAACUUCCACUCCCAGGGCUCAAGCAAUUCUCCAGCCUCAGCCUCCUGAGUAGCUAGGAUGAUGGGCACCCACAACCAAUGCUUGGCUAAUUUUUGUAUUUUUGUAGAGACAGGGUUUCACCAUGUUGCCCAGGCUGGUCUAGAACUCCUGAGCUCAAAGUGAUGCACCUGCCUCGGCCUCCCGAUGUACAGGUGUGAGCCACCAUGGUCAGCCUUCCAUAUGAAUUUCUAAAAAAGGGAUUACAGGUGUCAGCCACUGCAGUCAGCCUUCCAUAUGAAUUUCUAAAAAAGACUAGGGAAACACACCAAAAGGCCACAGUAGAAAUUUUACUAUAAGUAUCACCUGAGUAUAGCAACACUAGAUUUAUUUUUAAGUGCAUAUUGAUGACUUACUCAUACCUCUCUGAGCCUAUUUCCUGCAGAAUGGUAGUAACAAUGCCUACCUUUUAAAAAAUGCAUGCGCUAAACUACCAGCACCUGCCUAGCACAUGGUAGGUACAGAAACAACAGUCCUUCUUCACAGCCCCAGCCCCUACUCUCACCUUAGGACAGGUGACAAGUCUACAGGUGUGUUUACCCGGUCCUUCCAUCAUAUUUCUCUCAGGCACCCCCCCCCCAGUCACAACCAUGAUAUUGGAAAGAAGGUUCUAUAGGAAUACUCUACUCACAGUUUCCCUCUUCUAGUUCUUUGAUGAUUUGGUCACAGGCGUUCACUUCAUUUCUCAACAUCCUUUCCUGCUUAUUUUGUGAGAUCAGUACAGUCAGGCAACUGCUGGUGUAAGAAGUAAUGUUCUAAAAUUAUCUUGGCUUGAAAUAAGAUGAUGGACAUGAAAAAACUGGAAAGCUCAAAUGUAAGAUGGGAUUAUUAGUAUUAUCACAUGCAAAAAAGCACAAAAGAAACAGAUACGGGAAAGGCCAGAAUCAUUUUCUAACCUACACAGGGAAAACAUUUAAAAGAUGGAAUUUCUUGUGUUAUAAUCAUGACAACAAAUUAAAGUCUACCCAUCUUUGAAUAUAGACGACUUUCAAAACCUCAUUCGCUUUAAUGUAUUGCCUUUAGUGAGGACUAUAGAAAAGAUCUGAAACACAAAAGUAUUUGGUAUCUGUGCUACGACCGCAUUUUGUCCAUACUCACUGCACUAUACAAACAGAUCUCAUUAGGCUUAAACUGACAACAUGAAAAAAGUCUUCCUCUCUUCAAAUGAUUUCCAUUUUACUUGAUUAAUUGCAUGCACUUGUAUAUUUAAUAGCUAAAAUAACUGACUGCUCAUCCUUAUCUAGAUGUUUUUGAAAUUAACAAUUCUUAAAAGGUUAUAUAAUUGAAAUGUUUGCAUUUAUAAACCCCUCAGUUAUUUACUCAAAGAUUUGAAGUGCUUCUAAAUAGUGGAUAAUAAAUACUUUAAAAAUAACCCAAUAAAUCAACUCUAUAGUUUGGAAAACUCAAUUCUUAUCAAGGCAUCCCUUAGCAAGACUUUCUCACCAAGAUCCCGGCAUAAGUGGGUGAUUACUUUCUUUAUUCCUCAACACAGAACCCUUAUCUCUGAAGGAGUCCUGAACUUAAUCCCCGUAAACCUUUCCCACUGCACAGACACCUACUUGCUUCCCCUCAAAACCUCCUUUUAGAGUAUUUCCACACACUGAACACCUACAACUUUCUCUGCAUCUGAUGAUAAUUGAAGUGGCUACAUAUACUCAAACUCCAUUAACAGGCUUGGGCAGCAUUCUGAGUAAUCCGAGUAUUAACCAGGACUCUGCUGAUUGCUUUUAGGCCUUGCCUGAAUGCUCUGAGAAGCACAUGAGCUCCCAGAAGUAUUGAUAGUGGCUUGUCUAGUUAGAGCUCCUUCCUAACCAAAAAUUAAAAAGGAGAA
This 2249-nucleotide small RNA is filed under the name Pan troglodytes (chimpanzee). Its description in RNAcentral is "retained intron". Lineage: Eukaryota; Metazoa; Chordata; Mammalia; Primates; Hominidae. The record is from RNAcentral.